UAAAGCUUCCAAACUGGGAUUAGAUACCCCACUAUUUUUGGUUGUAAAUAGAGUUAAGUUUACCAGAGUACUACGAAUGUAAUAAAAUUUAAAACUCAAAGGGCUUGGCGGUGUUCUAGACCUUUCAGGGGAACCUGUCUCGUAAUCGACAGUCCACGUUAGACCUGACCUUUUCUUGCAGUCAGUUUGUAUACCAUCGUCGUCAGGUAACUUUUGAGAAAUGGAGAAGUUAGCGGUGUGAAUAAAGAGCAUGGAUUAAGACGUCAGACCAAGGUGCAGCUUAUGGGAAGGGGAGGAUGGGUUACAAUUAUUUAGUUGUAAGGACGGAAAUAGACAACUGAAAUGAGCUGUUAGAAGGAGGACUUGAAAGUAAAAUAAAUUAUAUAGGCAAUUUGAAUGUGGCUCUGGAACGUGCACACACCGCCCGUCACCCUCUGCAGUCAAAAAA
Molecule: ribosomal RNA, 448 nt
Filed under: Vasum turbinellus
Lineage: Eukaryota; Metazoa; Mollusca; Gastropoda; Neogastropoda; Turbinellidae
Description: partial 12S ribosomal RNA
Rfam family: Microsporidia small subunit ribosomal RNA
Source: RNAcentral